Molecule: ribosomal RNA, 460 nt
Filed under: uncultured bacterium
Lineage: Bacteria
Description: partial 16S ribosomal RNA
Rfam family: Bacterial small subunit ribosomal RNA
Source: RNAcentral
CCUACGGGAGGCAGCAGUGAGGAAUAUUGGUCAAUGGGCGGGAGCCUGAACCAGCCAAGUCGCGUGAGGGAAGACGGUCCUAUGGAUUGUAAACCUCUUUAGUCGGGGAGCAAUGCCGGGCACGUGUGCCCGGAGGGAGAGUACCCGCAGAAUAAGCAUCGGCUAACUCCGUGCCAGCAGCCGCGGUAAUACGGAGGAUGCGAGCGUUAUCCGGAUUUAUUGGGUUUAAAGGGUGCGUAGGCGGAUUUUUAAGUCAGCGGUAAAAUGUCCGGGCUCAACCCGGGCCGGCCGUUGAAACUGGGGAGCUUGAGUGGGCGAGAAGGAUGCGGAAUGCGUGGUGUAGCGGUGAAAUGCAUAGAUAUCACGCAGAACUCAGAUUGCGAAGGCAGCAUACCGGCGCCCGACUGACGCUGAGGCACGAAAGCGUGGGGAUCGAACAGGAUUAGAUACCCGGGUAGUC